AACGAGCGCAACCCUUGUCUUUAGUUGCCAUCAUUAAGUUGGGCACUCUAGAGAGACUGCCAGGGAUAACCUGGAGGAAGGUGGGGAUGACGUCAAAUCAUCAUGCCCCUUAUGCUUAGGGCUACACGCGUGCUACAAUGGGUAGUACAGAGGGUUGCCAAGCCGUAAGGUGGAGCUAAUCCCUGACGGCUACUCUUAGUUCGGAGGGGAGGCUGAAUCUCGCCGUCAUGAAGCUGGAGUUGCUAGUAGGCGCAGAGCAGAAUGCUGCGGUGAAUGCGUUCCCGGGUCUUGUACACAC
Molecule: ribosomal RNA, 298 nt
Filed under: Clostridioides difficile
Lineage: Bacteria; Bacillati; Bacillota; Clostridia; Peptostreptococcales; Peptostreptococcaceae
Description: partial 16S ribosomal RNA
Rfam family: Bacterial small subunit ribosomal RNA
Source: RNAcentral